Long non-coding RNA from Vidua macroura (Pin-tailed whydah), 279 nucleotides. RefSeq lists it as uncharacterized. Lineage: Eukaryota; Metazoa; Chordata; Aves; Passeriformes; Viduidae. The record is from RefSeq and is a predicted model, not a curated record. The transcript has 3 exons.
CCCAGAAUGGGUUGGGAUGGAAGGGAACUUAAAGCUCACCCAGUUCCACCCCUGCCACGGGCAGGGGCACCUCUCACUGUCCCAGGGUGCUCCAAGCCCUGUCCAACCUGGCCUGGGACACUGCCAGGGGCAGCCCCAGCUGCUCUGGGAUACAGGCCCUGGUUGCCCAGAGAAGCUGUGGCUGCCCCUGGAUCCCUGGAAGUGCCCAUGGCCAGGCUGGAUCUAAAAAUACAGAGAAAAACCAAAAAAACAUAGAAGCACCAAGAAACAAGAAGGAAA